RNAcentral lists this ribosomal RNA (253 nucleotides) under uncultured bacterium. Its description in RNAcentral is "partial 16S ribosomal RNA". It matches the Rfam family "Bacterial small subunit ribosomal RNA", at positions 524 to 776 of the family's 1533-position model. The record is from RNAcentral.
UACGAAGGGUGCAAACGUUGCUCGGAAUCAUUGGGCGUAAAGCGCACGUAGGCGGCUUGCCAAGUCGGACGUGAAAUCCCUCAGCUCAACUGAGGACGUGCAUCCGAAACUGUCGAGCUUGAGUGCUGAAGAGGAUCGCGGAAUUCCCGGUGUAGAGGUGAAAUUCGUAGAUAUCGGGAGGAACACCAGUGGCGAAGGCGGCGAUCUGGGCAGACACUGACGCUGAGGUGCGAAAGCGUGGGGAGCAAACAGG